This 445-nucleotide ribosomal RNA is filed under the name uncultured bacterium. RNAcentral's name for it is "bacterial SSU rRNA". It matches the Rfam family "Bacterial small subunit ribosomal RNA", at positions 354 to 796 of the family's 1533-position model. The record is from RNAcentral.
GUGAGGAAUAUUGGGCAAUGAGCGAAAGCUUGACCCAGCCAAGCCGCGUGCAGGAUGACGGCCCUACGGGUUGUAAACUGCUUUUGUACGGGAAGAAACACUCGUUCGUGAACGGGUCUGACGGUACUGUACGAAUAAGCAUCGGCUAACUCCGUGCCAGCAGCCGCGGUAAUACGGAGGAUGCAGGCGUUAUCCGGAUUUAUUAGGUUUAAAGGGUGCGUAGGCGGGAUGGUAAGUCAGUGGUGAAAGCCUACAGCUUAACUGUAGAAAUGCCAUUGAUACUGUCGUCCUUGAGUGCAGGCGAUGUAAGCGGAAUGUGUCGUGUAGCGGUGAAAUGCUUAGAUAUGACACAGAACACCGAUUGCGAAGGCAGCUUACUAGACUGUAACUGACGCUGAGGCACGAAAGCGUGGGUAGCGAACAGGAUUAGAAACCCGUGUAGUCC